Long non-coding RNA from Acanthochromis polyacanthus (spiny chromis), 360 nucleotides. RefSeq lists it as uncharacterized. The transcript is spliced from 3 exons. The record is from RefSeq and is a predicted model, not a curated record. NCBI's taxonomy places the organism in Eukaryota, Metazoa, Chordata, Actinopteri, Pomacentridae.
ACCUGAGUACUUGCAGACUAGAACUAUACAUGUGAGCACCACCAGGACGUAGACGGCAAACAGAGUGAGGAAAUCCAUGUCUCACCUGGUAGCAUCACAGAGAGGAAACAACAGGUGUUUAAGCAUCCAGGGUGGUGGGCUGUGCUCGCAUCGCUGCUGCUGAGCCAAGAGAGAGAUGGACACAUGAGGUUUCAGUGCUGAAAUUAAUGGAAAGUCUGGUCUUUCGACGUAUAACAAGGCGUCACAGGACAGCUGUUGGAUCUGGUUGCGGACAUGGCCCAGCACUCAUAUUACAGCUCACAGCGCUGCAGGGAGGAGCAUUACUCAGGAGCUGUCCACACUCAUCUAUGGAUGCUGUUU